Molecule: ribosomal RNA, 254 nt
Filed under: uncultured bacterium
Lineage: Bacteria
Description: partial 16S ribosomal RNA
Rfam family: Bacterial small subunit ribosomal RNA
Source: RNAcentral
UACAGAGGGGGCAAGCGUUGUUCGGAAUUACUGGGCGUAAAGGGCGCGUAGGUGGCCUUCUAAGUUGAACGCGAAAUCCCUGGGCUCAACCCAGGAACUGCGUCCAAGACUGGGAGGCUUGAAUCCGGGAGAGGGAUGCGGAAUUCCAGGUGUAGCGGUGAAAUGCGUAGAUAUCUGGAGGAACACCGAUUGCGAAGGCAGCUUACUGGAGAGUAACUGACGCUGAGGCACGAAAGCGUGGGGGAUCAAACAGG